This 240-nucleotide ribosomal RNA is filed under the name uncultured bacterium. RNAcentral describes it as "partial 16S ribosomal RNA". It matches the Rfam family "Bacterial small subunit ribosomal RNA", at positions 335 to 591 of the family's 1533-position model. The record is from RNAcentral.
UUGCCUACGGGGCGCAGCAGUGGGGGAUAUUGCACAAUGGGGGGAACCCUGAUGCAGCGACGCCGCGUGGGUGAAGGAGCGUUUCGGCGCGUAAAGCCCUAUCGGCAGGGGAGAAGGAGGACGGUACCUGACUAAGAAGCCCCGGCUAACUACGGGCCAGCAGCCGCGGUAAUACGUAGGGGGCAAGCGUUAUCCGGAUUUACUGGGUGUAAAGGGGGCGCAGAAGGCAGCGAAAGCCAG